This 1591-nucleotide long non-coding RNA is filed under the name Podarcis lilfordi (Lilford's wall lizard). The record is from RNAcentral. Lineage: Eukaryota; Metazoa; Chordata; Lepidosauria; Squamata; Lacertidae.
GGCAGCUUUCAGAGAAAUGCCAGGUAACUGCAGCAAGUUCUGAGGUGAGCGGCAGUGGCAGCAGGCAAGCCACAGAGGAAGAAUUAUGGCAGGCCAAGGAAGCUUCUCAGAACCUGAGGUUAUGGCAGGCCUACCCAUGAGGCAAGGUGAGGCAACCAGCUCAGGCAGAAGGAUUCACAAGGAUAGCAGGGCCUUUGGCCUCCAGGGAAUCCAUCACCCACUGCUGUUGCCACUGAAAGCUGCUCUUUGAAAGCCAUUUCCUCUUUGACAGCCCUCCUACCCCAUGUCACCUCUGUGGUGGCCCCUUGGCGAGUAGGAGAUGCUGAUGGUCUCCUCCCACCCCUAGGGAGGAAAUGGCAGGAGCUGCCCUCUGGGGUCUCCUGGGCUUGGCACCCACCCAGAGUAAUUUAGAGCAGGCUAUUUUUCUGGCUUCCGUCACAGUGUCCCAUUCUGCCAGAAGCAGUUUAGUCCUGCUGGUCAUAUGACCCGGAAGCUGUCUGUGGACAAAUGCCGCCUCCCUCAGCCAGAAGCAAGAUGAGUGCCACAACCCCAUAGUCACCUUUGACUGGACUUAACCAUCCAGGGAUCCUUUACCUUUUACCUUACUUUCCUUCCCACAAUGGCCUUCAAUUCCCACUUCAACCAUCUUGAAUCUUGAUUUUAUUUCCCCCCCUUGUUCCCAAUGUAGAUCUGCCCACUGGUGGAGGAAGAGGAGUGCGGGGGGAGCGCACCGCCUCUGGCAGUGCGAUCCCGGUGGGGUGCCAUCAUGGCUGCACCCCUGCCCACGCUGGGUGCCAUGCCCCCACAGGUGUCACGCCAUGCUCCGAGGAUGCGCGACAUGCCCCCAGGACGCAUGCCACGCCACACUCACGCCUGCUCUCCACCCCCUGGUGCCAGAGUGUGAAGCUCCGCCACUGGAUCUGCCUUCCACUUUUUUUCUGGGUGGCGGGAAUCACUUUGUGGCUUGCCCCAGGUGCCAAAAUACCUUGGGCAAGCCCUGCCUGAACUGUUGCAUAAUUGCUAUUGCUAUCUAUUGGGUUUAACACAUUUUAUGUUACACGGCGCGUUCUAACCAAUCGUAUAAGCGUUGGUAGACGAACAUUCUAAUGGCAAGUAAGUGCAUGCACUUUCAACUGUCAACAACGGUCAGUUAAUACUCGGCUUUAUUAUUGUGUUGUCCAGUCAGUUCGGUUCUUGUUUUCCUAUGAGUGAGCUGUUGUCACUCCCAAUUGUUGAAUAAGCGUAUUUGAGGAACUUAUACUGCCUUGGGCUUCUGACUUUUUCCGAACAUUUAUCAUUGGCAACAAAGGUGGGAUUGAUGAGCUCCCGCAGGCUGCCAGAGGCCCAAGAACGCACCACAGCACUGCCACCUGCCGCCUCGCACUAAGCGCGACCUCACCGCCACGCUGGACUCAGCAAAUAGUCCCGGAAAAGAGACCGCACCUGCCACGUCUUCACAACCACCCACAAUCGCACAAGCGACUGCUCCAGGUCUGAGGAUGGCCACCAGUCAUAGUCAGCCGCCACCGGACUUCGAUUAAUUAUUUUUAUUAUUAUUAAUUAUUUAUUUAUUUAUUUAUUUAUACCCCGC